UACGUAGGGGGCUAGCGUUGCUCGGAAUUACUGGGCGUAAAGCGUGCGUAGGUGGUUUGGUAAGUCUGUUGUGAAAGCCCCGGGCUCAACCUGGGAAUGGCAAUGGAUACUGGCAAGCUAGAGUGCGGUAGAGGGUAGUGGAAUUCCCGGUGUAGCGGUGAAAUGCGUAGAGAUCGGGAGGAACACCAGUGGCGAAGGCGGCUACCUGGACCGGCACUGACACUGAGGCACGAAAGCGUGGGGAGCAAACAGG
Molecule: ribosomal RNA, 253 nt
Filed under: uncultured bacterium
Lineage: Bacteria
Description: partial 16S ribosomal RNA
Rfam family: Bacterial small subunit ribosomal RNA
Source: RNAcentral